Molecule: ribosomal RNA, 497 nt
Filed under: uncultured bacterium
Lineage: Bacteria
Description: partial 16S ribosomal RNA
Rfam family: Bacterial small subunit ribosomal RNA
Source: RNAcentral
GAUGAACGCUGGCGGCGUGCCUAAUACAUGCAAGUCGAGCGAACGGACGAGAAGCUUGCUUCUCUGAUGUUAGCGGCGGACGGGUGAGUAACACGUGGAUAACCUACCUAUAAGACUGGGAUAACUUCGGGAAACCGGAGCUAAUACCGGAUAAUAUUUUGAACCGCAUGGUUCAAAAGUGAAAGACGGUCUUGCUGUCACUUAUAGAUGGAUCCGCGCUGCAUUAGCUAGUUGGUAAGGUAACGGCUUACCAAGGCAACGAUGCAUAGCCGACCUGAGAGGGUGAUCCGCCACACUGGAAGUGAGACACGGUCCAGACUCCUACGGGAGGCAGCAGUAGGGAAUCUUCCGCAAUGGGCGAAAGCCUGACGGAGCAACGCCGCGUGAGUGAUGAAGGUCUUCGGAUCGUAAAACUCUGUUAUUAGGGAAGAACAUAUGUGUAAGUAACUGUGCACAUCUUGACGGUACCUAAUCAGAAAGCCACGGCUAACUACGUG